UACAAUUUCAAAUUAAUUCCAACAUUUAUUAUUUAUUUUAAGUUCUGCUGGACUGAAGAUUGUGAAGAAGGCGAAAGCCGAAUCGUUCAGAAAAAUAAUACAAACAAUUUAACAUCCGAAUCAUUGCUGACAUAAUGGCACUAGAGUUUUUAUUUGGUCGUCGUAAAACUUCAGAAGAGAUGCUUCGACAAAAUCAAAGAGCUUUAAAUAAAGCUAUGAGAGAUCUAGAUAGAGAGAGAGCAAAAAUGGAACAGCAAGAAAAGAAGUUGAUUAUAGAUAUUAAAAAGAUGGCAAAGGAUAAUCAGAUGGAUGCAGUGAAAAUCAUGGCUAAAGACCUGGUCAGAACUAGACGCUAUGUUAAAAAGUUUAUGUUGAUGAGAGCAAACAUUCAAGCUAUUUCACUGAAAAUUCAGACAUUACGAUCACAGAAUUCUAUGGCUCAGGCAAUGAAAGGAGUUACAAAAGCUCUAAAAAAUAUGAAUAAACAGCUAAACUUACCACAAAUUCAGAAGAUUAUGCAGGAGUUUGAGAAACAAUCUGAGAUUAUGGACAUGAAAGAAGAAAUGAUGAAUGAUGCUAUUGAUGAUGUUAUGGAAGAUGAAGAAGAUGAGGAGGAAAGUGAGGCUCUGGUGUCCCAAGUACUAGAUGAAUUAGGUUUACAGCUAUCAGAGAAGUUGACAGGUCUUCCAAGUGAAGGAGGUUCACUUAGUGCUGAUUCUCAGAAGAACAAGCCUGCUGUAGCAUUAACAGGGGCUGAUGCAGAUCUGGAAGCUCGUUUGGAAAACCUGCGAAAAGAUUGAAGAAAGUUAAUCAAACAGAGUAACUGUAAAGAAUGUCAAAAACUGGGUGAAAUCAUUUGGGUGUUACAACAGAUGGCAGUGUGUUCUGGACCUCUAACUGAGAAUUAUUGCUGCAGCCAUUUUUGUCAACAGGUGUUUGCUCAGAAUUGUUUUGAUUUUGAUGACCAAUUAGGAAA
RNAcentral lists this unclassified non-coding RNA (976 nucleotides) under Limulus polyphemus (Atlantic horseshoe crab). RNAcentral describes it as "charged multivesicular body protein 2a-like, transcript variant X1". The record is from RNAcentral. Lineage: Eukaryota; Metazoa; Arthropoda; Merostomata; Xiphosura; Limulidae.